GGCCAAGUUUUUAAGGGCGCACGGUGGAUGCCUUGGCACCAGGAACCGAUGAAGGACGUGGGAGGCCACGAUAGUCCCCGGGGAGUCGUCAACCAGGCUUUGAUCCGGGGGUUUCCGAAUGGGGAAACCCGGCAGUCGUCAUGGGCUGUCACCCUUGUCUGAACACAUAGGGCAAGUGGAGGGAACGCGGGGAAGUGAAACAUCUCAGUACCCGCAGGAAGAGAAAACAACCGUGAUUCCGGGAGUAGUGGCGAGCGAAACCGGAUGAGGCUAAACCGUAUACGUGUGAGACCCGGCAGGGGUUGCGUGUACGGGGUUGUGGGAGUGUGCUUGAUCGGUCUGCCGGCCGGUCGGAGAGUCAGAAACCGUUGAUGUAGGCGAAGGACAUGCGAAAGGUCCGGCGUAGAGGGUAAGACCCCCGUAGUCGAAACAUCAGCGGCUCUCUUGCGUAUUUCCCAAGUAGCACGGGGCCCGAGAAAUCCCGUGUGAAUCUGGCGGGACCACCCGCUAAGCCUAAAUAUUCCCUGGUGACCGAUAGCGGAUAGUACCGUGAGGGAAUGGUGAAAAGUACCGCGGGAGCGGAGUGAAAUAGUACCUGAAACCGUGUGCCUACAAGCCGUGGGAGCGUCGGANNNNNNNNNNNNNNNNNNNNNNNNNNNNNNNNNNNNNNNNNNNNNNNNNNNNNNNNNNNNNNNNNNNNNNNNNNNNNNNNNNNNNNNNNNNNNNNNNNNNUCUCGUGACUGCGUGCCUUUUGAAGAAUGAGCCUGCGAGUUUGCGGUGUGUUGCGAGGUUAACCCGGGUGGGGUAGCCGUAGCGAAAGCGAGUCCGAACAGGGCGUUUCAGUAGCACGCUCAAGACCCGAAGCGGAGUGAUCUAGCCAUGGGCAGGUUGAAGCGGAGGUAAGACUUCGUGGAGGACCGAACCCACCAGGGUUGAAAACCUGGGGGAUGACCUGUGGUUAGGGGUGAAAGGCCAAUCAAACUCCGUGAUAGCUGGUUCUCCCCGAAAUGCAUUUAGGUGCAGCGUCGUGUGUUUCUUGCCGGAGGUAGAGCACUGGAUAGGCGAUGGGCCCUACCGGGUUACUGACCUUAGCCAAACUCCGAAUGCCGGUAAGUGAGAGCGCGGCAGUGAGACUGUGGGGGAUAAGCUCCAUGGUCGAGAGGGAAACAGCCCAGAGCAUCGACUAAGGCCCCUAAGCGUACGCUAAGUGGGAAAGGAUGUGGAGUCGCAGAGACAACCAGGAGGUUGGCUUAGAAGCAGCCACCCUUGAAAGAGUGCGUAAUAGCUCACUGGUCUAGUGAUUCCGCGCCGACAAUGUAGCGGGGCUCAAGCGUACCGCCGAAGUCGUGUCAUUGCAGCUAUAGGGCCAACGCCUGCUGUGAUGGGUAGGGGAGCGUCGUGUGCCGGGUGAAGCAGCGCCGGAAGGCAGUUGUGGACGGUUCACGAGUGAGAAUGCAGGCAUGAGUAGCGAUUCACACGUGAGAAACGUGUGCGCCGAUUGACUAAGGGUUCCUGGGUCAAGCUGAUCUGCCCAGGGUAAGUCGGGACCUAAGGCGAGGCCGACAGGCGUAGUCGAUGGAUAACCGGUUGAUAUUCCGGUACCCGCUGUGAAGCGUCAAACAUUGAACCAGGCGAUGCUAAGUCCGUGAAGCCGCCCUGGAGCCUUCGGGCAAAGGGGAGUGGUGGAGCCGACGGACCAGACCUGUAGUAGGUGAGUGAUGGGGUGACGCAGGAAGGUAGUCCAGCCCGGGCGGUGGUUGUCCCGGGGUAAGGGUGUAGCCCGAGUGGUAGGUAAAUCCGCCGCUCAUGUGGGUGAGACCUGAUGCCGAGCCGAUUGUGGUGAAGUGGAUGAUCCUAUGCUGUCGAGAAAAGCCUCUAGCGAGUUUCAUGGCGGCCCGUACCCUAAACCGACUCAGGUGGUCAGGUAGAGAAUACCGAGGCGUUCGGGUGAACUAUGGUUAAGGAACUCGGCAAAAUGCCCCCGUAACUUCGGGAGAAGGGGGGCCACGUCUGGUGAGGGGACUUGCUUCCUGAGCUGGGUGUGGCCGCAGAGACCAGCGAGAAGCGACUGUUUACUAAAAACACAGGUCCGUGCGAAGCCGUAAGGCGAUGUAUACGGACUGACGCCUGCCCGGUGCUGGAACGUUAAGGGGACCGGUUAGCUCCAUUUCGGUGGGGCGAAGCUGAGAACUUAAGCGCCAGUAAACGGCGGUGGUAACUAUAACCAUCCUAAGGUAGCGAAAUUCCUUGUCGGGUAAGUUCCGACCUGCACGAAUGGCGUAACGACUUCUCGACUGUCUCAACCAUAGGCCCGGUGAAAUUGCACUACGAGUAAAGAUGCUCGUUUCGCGCAGCAGGACGGAAAGACCCCGGGACCUUUACUACAGUUUGAUAUUGGUGUUCGGUUCGGCUUGUGUAGGAUAGCUGGGAGACUGUGAAGCUUGGACGCCAGUUCAGGUGGAGUCGUCGUUGAAAUACCAGUCUGGUCGUGCUGGAUGUCUAACCUGGGUCCGUGAUCCGGAUCAGGGACAGUGUCUGAUGGGUAGUUUAACUGGGGCGGUUGCCUCCUAAAGAGUAACGGAGGCGCCCAAAGGUUCCCUCAGCCUGGUUGGCAAUCAGGUGUUGAGUGUAAGUGCACAAGGGAGCUUGACUGUGAGACCGACGGGUCGAGCAGGGACGAAAGUCGGGACUAGUGAUCCGGCGGUGGCUUGUGGAAGCGCCGUCGCUCAACGGAUAAAAGGUACCCCGGGGAUAACAGGCUGAUCUUCCCCAAGAGUCCAUAUCGACGGGAUGGUUUGGCACCUCGAUGUCGGCUCGUCGCAUCCUGGGGCUGGAGUCGGUCCCAAGGGUUGGGCUGUUCGCCCAUUAAAGCGGUACGCGAGCUGGGUUUAGAACGUCGUGAGACAGUUCGGUCCCUAUCCGCUGCGCGCGCAGGAAUAUUGAGAAGGGCUGUCCCUAGUACGAGAGGACCGGGACGGACGAACCUCUGGUGUGCCAGUUGUUCUGCCAAGGGCAUGGCUGGUUGGCUACGUUCGGGAGGGAUAACCGCUGAAAGCAUCUAAGCGGGAAGCCUGCUUCGAGAUGAGUAUUCCCACCCACUUGAUGGGGUAAGGCUCCCAGUAGACGACUGGGUUGAUAGGCCGGAUCUGGAAGCACCGCAAGGUGUGGAGGUGACCGGUACUAAUAGGCCGAGGGCUUGUCCUC
This 3204-nucleotide ribosomal RNA is filed under the name Streptomyces guryensis. RNAcentral describes it as "23S ribosomal RNA". It matches the Rfam family "Bacterial large subunit ribosomal RNA". Lineage: Bacteria; Bacillati; Actinomycetota; Actinomycetes; Kitasatosporales; Streptomycetaceae. The record is from RNAcentral.